This 253-nucleotide ribosomal RNA is filed under the name uncultured bacterium. RNAcentral's name for it is "partial 16S ribosomal RNA". It matches the Rfam family "Bacterial small subunit ribosomal RNA", at positions 524 to 776 of the family's 1533-position model. The record is from RNAcentral.
UACAGAGGAUGCAAGCGUUAUCCGGAAUGAUUGGGCGUAAAGCGUCUGUAGGUGGCUUUCUAAGUCCGCCGUCAAAUCCCAGGGCUCAACUCUGGACAGGCGGUGGAAACUACCAAGCUGGAGUACGGUAGGGGCAGAGGGAAUUUCCGGUGGAGCGGUGAAAUGCGUAGAUAUCAUUUGGAACGCCAACGGCGAAAGCAGGCAGCUGGGGAUGCACCGACGCUGAGACACGAAAGCCAGGGGAGCGAACGGG